AUGAUUGUAAGUUUCCAGUGGCCUCCCCAGAAGCAGAAGCUAUUAUGCUUCCUGUACAGCCUGCAGAACUUUACAGGAAUAGAAAAUCAAAAUACAGGCUAUGGACAUCUGGCCAGUAGAUCGGGGGAGAUCUUUUGGGGACAUGCUGUUCCAUGCUCUGCCAACUAUACCACUAGAAGCAGCUCCUUUUCCUUGCCAGAGAAGAAUAACUUUUCAUGGAGACCAGGAGUUAAACUAGGAGCUUUGGAAUCAUUAUUCAUGACCCCUCUGCAAAUAUGUCAGUCUGCAAAGACAUUAUCUUCCCCCAAAUUAUGUAUAGCUUCCUCUGUUAGGGAAAACGAUGGACAAAGAAGAAAUUGUAAGUAAAUUGCCAACACAGGAAAAAAGUUAUGUAAAAGCUUUGAUGACUUCGUGCUACAAUUUGAUACAUUUUAUUAUAAAGAGCAUGCUGGAGACUGGGGCAAAUGGAUGGCAGGUCUAAUAAAAUCAAAUUUUCAGACAUUUAUCUUCUUACUUCAUAUUUGCAUUUUCGACUUCUUAUAUGAUAUUGUCACUCACACACAGGCUUAUUUCUCUUAGGACAUAGAGAUUCACAUUCUGUGUUUGUACUGGAGACCUGUUCACUAUUUAUGUUUAUGGUGUUUACUGAGUUGUAACAUUUAAAUCAUUAUUUUUAUUGUUACUUUAAUAUUCAACAAACCUUUUUUUCUUAGUAAACUUUAUUUUUCCAACAUAAAAGUAAUAUAAUACUUGGAAAAUACAGCAAAAUAAAAAAAGGAAAAAUCAAUGUAAUUUUAC
This 798-nucleotide long non-coding RNA is filed under the name Papio anubis (olive baboon). Its description in RNAcentral is "lncRNA (ENSPANG00000044396.1)". Lineage: Eukaryota; Metazoa; Chordata; Mammalia; Primates; Cercopithecidae. The record is from RNAcentral.